UGACGUACAUUUUGUAAGUCGCUCUGGAUAAGAGCGUCUGCUAAAUGACUUAAA
Salmo salar (Atlantic salmon) is the source of this 54-nucleotide non-coding RNA. NCBI's taxonomy places the organism in Eukaryota, Metazoa, Chordata, Actinopteri, Salmoniformes, Salmonidae. The record is from Rfam.